AAGGCAAAGAAGUAAAGUAAGCAAUCAAUAAUCAAAGCUAUUGUUAAAUCAAACUAAUUAAUUACAAAUUUCCAAUAUAUAUAAAUCAUUCUGUUCUCCCUGUCCUUGUUCCUUCCUCUGGCGUCCAAACCCACUUCUCCUUAAGCCACGGUUAUCAUCACUGAUUACAGAACAAUUAUUCGAAAUAAACCUAAAUCACAACAAAAGUAAUACCAAGAACAAGAAUAAGAAGCUAUACAUCUGAUAUUUUAGUCUGGUGUGACCCUUGCGAGACAACAAUAACUACCCUUGCUCUGUUCUUGGUGUUUAGAAGAAGGAAGACAACAGGAGUCACAAAUUGCAGAGGCAAUAGAAUCAAACAUCAUGCUUUUCACUAACCUCCUCUUCUUUGGAAUCAAGCUAUCAUUUUUGGGUUUAAAAUAAAGGUCUUUCUUGGAUUUGAUCGCUUCCCCACUAGCUGGGCUGUUCUUGACUUCCAUCUCUGCCUCCUUUUUUUGUCCUUCUG
RNAcentral lists this long non-coding RNA (505 nucleotides) under Populus tremula. RNAcentral describes it as "long non-coding RNA (PTRE_LNC002323)". The record is from RNAcentral. Lineage: Eukaryota; Viridiplantae; Streptophyta; Magnoliopsida; Malpighiales; Salicaceae.